Molecule: ribosomal RNA, 519 nt
Filed under: uncultured Glomeromycotina
Lineage: Eukaryota; Fungi; Glomeromycota
Description: SSU rRNA
Rfam family: Eukaryotic small subunit ribosomal RNA
Source: RNAcentral
AGCAGCCGCGGUAAUUCCAGCUCCAAUAGCGUAUAUUAAAGUUGUUGCGGUUAAAAAGCUCGUAGUUGAAUUUCGGGAUCAGUACGCCGGUCGUGCCUCCGGUAUGUACUGGUGUCACUGAUUCCUCCCUUCUGAAGAACCAUCAUGCCAUUCACUUGGUGUGGUGGGGAAUCAGGACUGUUACUUUGAAAAAUUAGAGUGUUUAAAGCAGGCUCGCGCUUGAAUACAUUAGCAUGGAAUAAUGAAAUAGGACGUUUAUCCUAUUUUGUUGGUUUCUAGGAUUGACGUAAUGAUUAAUAGGGAUAGUUGGGGGCAUUAGUAUUCAAUUGUCAGAGGUGAAAUUCUUGGAUUUAUUGAAGACUAACUACUGCGAAAGCAUUUGCCAAGGAUGUUUUCAUUAAUCAAGAACGAAAGUUAGGGGAUCGAAGACGAUCAGAUACCGUCGUAGUCUUAACCAUAAACUAUGCCGACUAGGGAUCGGAUGAUGUUAAUUUUUAAUGACUCAUUCGGCGCCUUAAC